This 339-nucleotide ribosomal RNA is filed under the name Triticum aestivum (bread wheat). Its description in RNAcentral is "partial small subunit ribosomal RNA". The record is from RNAcentral. Lineage: Eukaryota; Viridiplantae; Streptophyta; Magnoliopsida; Poales; Poaceae.
AUGAAGUUGUCUGGUUUGGAGAUCAACCCCGACAAGUACGUUGACAUGCAGCACAAACGGAGAGUUCCAAACAAUGGGAAGAAGUGGCAGUCUUUGGCUGAAUUUGCAGCCAGCCUCAUCCACCCAUCCUACAAGGAAAUGAAGCAGAAGAUCAACAAGAAAUUGGACGACAAACUAUGGGGGGACAACCCACUGCCAAACAACCUCAUCGAGUACGCAGCAAAAGAUGCGUACAUCACCUACGAGGCAUGGAAGAAAAUCGAAACCAUCAAAGAAGGUUUGAAGCAAUGGCAAGAGGCGGAGGAUCAUUGGGAUGACCCCUACUACUGGGGAUAUUGA